AUCCAGCUGACGAGUCUCGAAUAGGAUUAAACGCGCAUCUUGGAU
This is a non-coding RNA of Schistosoma curassoni, 45 nucleotides long. The record is from Rfam. Lineage: Eukaryota; Metazoa; Platyhelminthes; Trematoda; Strigeidida; Schistosomatidae.